Non-coding RNA from Gossypium raimondii (Peruvian cotton), 222 nucleotides. NCBI's taxonomy places the organism in Eukaryota, Viridiplantae, Streptophyta, Magnoliopsida, Malvales, Malvaceae. The record is from Rfam.
CAUAGGCAGUGACUUGGUUAAGGGAACCCACCAGAGCCGUAGUGAAAGUAAGUCUUCAUAGGGAAAUUGUUACUGCUUAUGGACCCGAAACUAGGUGAGCUAUCCAUGAUCAGGAUAAAGCUUGGGUGAAACUAAGUGGAGGUUCAAAUCGACUGAUGUUGAAGAAUCAACAGAUGAGUUGUGGUUAGGGGUGAAAUGCGACAUGAACCUAGAGCUAGCUAG